Molecule: ribosomal RNA, 498 nt
Filed under: uncultured bacterium
Lineage: Bacteria
Description: partial 16S ribosomal RNA
Rfam family: Bacterial small subunit ribosomal RNA
Source: RNAcentral
AGCGAACGCUGGCGGCGUGCCUAACACAUGCAAGUCGAACGUGAAAAGGGAAACCUGAGUAAAGUGGCGUACGGGUGAGUAACGCGUAGGUAAUCUACCCCAGAAUCUGGAAUAACCUGCCGAAAGGCGGGCUAAUACUGGAUAGAGCGAGGGAACUCGUAAGAGAGUUUUUCGGGAAAGGGAGCCCGCAAGGGCCUUCGUUCUGGGAUGAGCCUGCGUCUCAUUAGCUAGUUGGUAAGGUAACGGCUUACCAAGGCGAUGAUGAGUAGCUGGUCUGAGAGGAUGAUCAGCCACACUGGAACUGAAACACGGUCCAGACUCCUACGGGAGGCAGCAGUGGGGAAUCUUGCGCAAUGGACGAAAGUCUGACGCAGCCACGCCGCGUGAGUGAAGAAGGCCUUCGGGUUGUAAAGCUCUGUCGGAUGGGACGAACAUCUUCAUAGUAAAUAGCUAUGAGGACUGACGGUACCAUCAAAGGAAGCACCGGCUAACUCCGUG